This is a long non-coding RNA of Pecten maximus, 277 nucleotides long. RefSeq lists it as uncharacterized. The record is from RefSeq and is a predicted model, not a curated record. Lineage: Eukaryota; Metazoa; Mollusca; Bivalvia; Pectinida; Pectinidae. The transcript has 3 exons.
CAAUGUCAAUGUUGCACACAACAAUACAAAAACGGAUAGUGUAAUAUUUACUUGAAUUCCGUUCCAUAGGUAAGACACGCUCUGGACGGAGGAUUGUUCGAGGUAUUGGAGACGUUGUUAUAUUUGUCUCAUAUGAGUGAAAGCACAGAAAGCUGACUGUGUUGAUGUAGUCGAUGUCGCCGUUGUAGUGGUCUGACAGCUGCCCAGUCCUGUAGUUUGGAUACUUCUUCGUUGUAGAUGGCGGUUUUGGGAGAAACAGGAUGACACCGUUGUAUAC